AAUACAACUUUUAACAACGGAUCUCUUGGCUCUCGCAUCGAUGAAGAACGCAGCGAAAUGCGAUAAGUAAUGUGAAUUGCAGAAUUCAGUGAAUCAUCGAAUCUUUGAACGCACCUUGCGCUCUCUGGUAUUCCGGGGAGCACACCUGUUCGA
RNAcentral lists this ribosomal RNA (153 nucleotides) under Hydnum repandum. Its description in RNAcentral is "5.8S ribosomal RNA". It matches the Rfam family "5.8S ribosomal RNA". Rfam says of the family: 5.8S ribosomal RNA (5.8S rRNA) is a component of the large subunit of the eukaryotic ribosome. It is transcribed by RNA polymerase I as part of the 45S precursor that also contains 18S and 28S rRNA. Lineage: Eukaryota; Fungi; Basidiomycota; Agaricomycetes; Cantharellales; Hydnaceae. The record is from RNAcentral.